This 63-nucleotide transfer RNA is filed under the name Puri aleca. RNAcentral describes it as "tRNA-His". Lineage: Eukaryota; Metazoa; Arthropoda; Insecta; Megaloptera; Corydalidae. The record is from RNAcentral.
AUUUAAGUAGUUUAAUUAAAAAUAUUGAUUUGUGGUGUCAAUGAUGUAUAAGUACCUUAAAUU